RNAcentral lists this ribosomal RNA (253 nucleotides) under uncultured bacterium. RNAcentral's name for it is "partial 16S ribosomal RNA". It matches the Rfam family "Bacterial small subunit ribosomal RNA", at positions 524 to 776 of the family's 1533-position model. The record is from RNAcentral.
UACAGAGGGGGCAAGCGUUGUUCGGAAUUACUGGGCGUAAAGGGCGCGUAGGCGGCCCGCUAAGUCGAACGUGAAAUCCCCAGGCUUAACCUGGGAACUGCGUCCGAUACUGGCAGGCUUGAAUCCGGGAGAGGGAUGUGGAAUUCCAGGUGUAGCGGUGAAAUGCGUAGAUAUCUGGAGGAACACCGGUGGCGAAGGCGGCAUCCUGGACCGGCAUUGACGCUGAGGCGCGAAAGCGUGGGGAGCAAACAGG